RNAcentral lists this small RNA (462 nucleotides) under Oryza sativa Japonica Group (Japanese rice). Its description in RNAcentral is "sRNA Os10g0463600". The record is from RNAcentral. Lineage: Eukaryota; Viridiplantae; Streptophyta; Magnoliopsida; Poales; Poaceae.
CCCUUGAUGGUGGCGCGGCGCGGCGAUCGCCUUCGGCGACCACCGAGGUGCGGGAGGCUGAGGUGGAAGAAGGAUUGCUCCAGUGGAGGUGGAGGUGGAGGCGGAGGCGGAAGCGGAGGUAGGCUGAAGAGGAGCGAGGUGAUCACUUGAUGGAUUUUGCUUGUGUGCCUAGUGGUAGGCAAGUCUGAUUCUUGGCUGUGGUUGAAGUUAAUUGAAAGGGGGGUAUAUAAUCUUUUUUGUUCUCUUCCUCUCUCCUCUCUACCUUAAUUUGUGUGUCUGAAUGUGUGUUUGCUAUUCUGAACUUCUGAUGAUGAGUUUUCCUUUCAGUUGGUCGGUUUGAUUGUGUGUCAUGUCAUUUAUCUGGAGUUGUGUUGUGUGGCAUGGCCAUGUGUCGUGUGUGUGAUAUGUUAUAAAGAAAGAAAGAAGUGAAGUAUUAAUUGGGAGAAGGAAGAAAAUGAAUGC